UACGAAGGGGGCUAGCGUUGCUCGGAAUCACUGGGCGUAAAGCGCACGUAGGCGGGUCCUUAAGUCGGGGGUGAAAUCCCGGAGCUCAACUCCGGAACUGCCUUCGAUACUGGGGACCUCGAGUCCGGGAGAGGUGAGUGGAACUGCGAGUGUAGAGGUGAAAUUCGUAGAUAUUCGGAAGAACACCAGUGGCGAAGGCGGCUCACUGGACCGGUAUUGACGCUGAGGUGCGAAAGCGUGGGGAGCAAACAGG
This 253-nucleotide ribosomal RNA is filed under the name uncultured bacterium. Its description in RNAcentral is "partial 16S ribosomal RNA". It matches the Rfam family "Bacterial small subunit ribosomal RNA", at positions 524 to 776 of the family's 1533-position model. The record is from RNAcentral.